CAAGACUAAGCAUUAAGCUAGGCUCUAGAUUCUAGGGCCUGAUUCUCGCAGCUGCGCCUUUUGUAGCGUCCUAGCA
This 76-nucleotide transfer RNA is filed under the name Shewanella putrefaciens. RNAcentral describes it as "tRNA-Lys". Lineage: Bacteria; Pseudomonadati; Pseudomonadota; Gammaproteobacteria; Alteromonadales; Shewanellaceae. The record is from RNAcentral.